This 273-nucleotide small RNA is filed under the name Drosophila virilis. RNAcentral describes it as "GJ26731". Lineage: Eukaryota; Metazoa; Arthropoda; Insecta; Diptera; Drosophilidae. The record is from RNAcentral.
AUUCAUUUUCACAAUCUGGGCUUACUCAUUUUGAAAAUCCAGGUGCAAUAAUUUUGAAUUGGAAUACAAUUUGCAUAAAAACAAGACUAACCACUGUUGUGCUUCUUCUACCCCGAACUGGACGCUAUGGGAAAUUCAUUCUGGAUUAAGGGCCUUAGAUUGGGAAAACGGGGGAGUAAGUCAAUAAGUCAAUAAAGAAAAUCGUGAUUCCUGUAUUCUAUACGAAAGAGACAAAAUGAUUAUAAAAGAUCUAGGCUGACAAUAAAUACUAUC